Molecule: long non-coding RNA, 251 nt
Filed under: Macaca fascicularis (crab-eating macaque)
Lineage: Eukaryota; Metazoa; Chordata; Mammalia; Primates; Cercopithecidae
Description: lncRNA (ENSMFAG00000064130.1)
Source: RNAcentral
AUGGGACUGAGAGUACUAGGUCACUGCUUGGCACAUUGGAGAGGACAAAUAAAUGUUGAUCUGAACAGUUUUACUCCAUUCACUGCUAAAGAAGUGCCUGCUAUGCCCCAGGUAGGGAAGGAAGCAAAGGUAUUAUUUUGGAGAAACCAAACAACCUCCCUGGAAUAGUGCAAUGUUGUGAGAAGCAGAGGGACUGGAUACCAACCACCUGAGUCAGAAGGAGGCAGCCCAGAAAGGUAGCACUUCAGGAG